This 224-nucleotide long non-coding RNA is filed under the name Elaeis guineensis (African oil palm). RNAcentral's name for it is "long non-coding RNA (EGUI_LNC052266)". Lineage: Eukaryota; Viridiplantae; Streptophyta; Magnoliopsida; Arecales; Arecaceae. The record is from RNAcentral.
UUUGGGUUAGCGCAAAAGCUGAAUUCUAGAUUUUGGUCCUCAGGGUUUGGGAAGAGAGAAAAAUAUGAAGAAAAAUUAUUUCUUCUCCUUUCUUUUUCUACAUCCUCAUAUCCUCUAGAAGUUCAUCUUCAAUCUCUAAAAAAGUUUUAAAGAUUUGAAGAAAAGAUCCAGAUCAGUCAAGAAGAAAGUCUUCGUGCAAGCUAGUACUCAAAAAAAGAUCAAUC